CGUAAGCGUACGUAGGUGGUUUGUUAAGUUGGAUGUGAAAGCCCAGGGCUCAACCUUGGAACUGCAUUCAAAACUGGCGAACUAGAGUAUGGUAGAGGUGAGUGGAAUUUCCUGUGUAGCGGUGAAAUGCGUAGAGAUGGGAAGGAACAUCAGUGGCGAAGGCGACUCACUGGACCAAUACUGACACUGAGGUACGAAAGCGUGGGUAGCAAACAGGAUUAGAUACCCUGGUAGUCCACGCCGUAAACGAUGUCUACUAGCCGUUGGGGUCCUUGAGACUUUAGUGGCGCAGCUAACGCACUAAGUAGACCGCCUGGGGAGUACGGUCGCAAGAU
RNAcentral lists this ribosomal RNA (335 nucleotides) under uncultured Gammaproteobacteria bacterium. Its description in RNAcentral is "bacterial SSU rRNA". It matches the Rfam family "Bacterial small subunit ribosomal RNA", at positions 559 to 894 of the family's 1533-position model. The record is from RNAcentral. Lineage: Bacteria; Pseudomonadati; Pseudomonadota; Gammaproteobacteria.